AACGAACGCUGGCGGCAUGCCUAACACAUGCAAGCCGAACGAGACCUUCGGGUCUAGUGGCGCACGGGUGCGUAACGCGUGGGAACCUGCCCUUAGGUUCGGAAUAACUCCCCGAAAGGGGUGCUAAUACCGGAUAAUGUCUUCGGACCAAAGAUUUAUCGCCUUUGGAUGGGCCCGCGUUGGAUUAGCUGGUUGGUAGGGUAAAAGCCUACCAAGGCGACGAUCCAUAGCUGGUCUGAGAGGAUGAUCAGCCACACUGGGACUGAGACACGGCCCAGACUCCUACGGGAGGCAGCAGUGGGGAAUAUUGGACAAUGGGCGAAAGCCUGAUCCAGCAAUGCCGCGUGAGUGAUGAAGGCCUUAGGGUUGUAAAGCUCUUUUACCCGGGAUGAUAAUGACAGUACCGGGAGAAUAAGCUCCGGCUAACUCCGUG
This 433-nucleotide ribosomal RNA is filed under the name uncultured bacterium. RNAcentral's name for it is "partial 16S ribosomal RNA". It matches the Rfam family "Bacterial small subunit ribosomal RNA", at positions 29 to 507 of the family's 1533-position model. The record is from RNAcentral.